CACAAUUUUGCAACAAGCUAGGAAAAAAAAUCCUUCUUGACCCCAGAAUGGCAGUCAGAUUUAUCCUUGGAUCAAGCAGUUAUUACCCUACAUUGAAAGAUUAUAUCUUUGAAUAUUCUGUUUUUGCAAGUAUGCAUCUAGUAGCCGUUUGAACAUCUGUAUGGACUCUGAUAAAACCACUUCUUCAGGCAGAGAAUUCCAC
Molecule: long non-coding RNA, 202 nt
Filed under: Pelobates cultripes (western spadefoot toad)
Lineage: Eukaryota; Metazoa; Chordata; Amphibia; Anura; Pelobatidae
Source: RNAcentral